GCAAAGAACGGGACAUGGGAACAUGCGCCAAUGCCAUACGGAGUGCAUAUAUAGUACAGAAAACAAUUAUCGGCACUGCCUCUGCGCACCUUCCAGCACAACAGGGAGAGCACUGAUGUUUGUAGGUAUUUUCCCGCCAUUUCCUAUGCACGAAGAGCACAGAACGGUCCGGAACGCCUUCCGAAAGUGGAAUGGCUUUCGAAAUCUGACCUCGGGAAACACUGAGGGGGAAGGGGGCAAACUAAACCAGGCGAACUACAUCUGACCAAAAGACAUAAGUCUCAGAGAAGACAAGUAACGCUCAGGAUUCUUAUUCUAAAGAUGGUGGCUGUGCCGUCAACCUCUGUUGCCGGUCACGUACUUGCUGCUACUGCUACAAUUUCUACAAUUACCUUUCCUGGGCUAACAAGACUAGAAGUAGCAAAUGAAACAUGAGGUGGACAGGAAGGAGGACCUCCGAAAUUUGGGCUCAGAAAACUGCUCUACCUCUUUUCUAUUUUCAGUGAAAAAAAAGAAAAGAAAAGAGAGAGAGGGAUACUCCUUUUGAGGUCAAAUAACCACGCAUAGUGAGUGAUGCCCUUAAUUCUGCAGGUGGACUGGUACAGGAAGGACUUCCGCAAUGUAGCCUCUGAAAGCAACAAUCUUCUCUGAAGUGUCACUCAAAAAAUAAAAUGCUCCUAUUAAGAUGUAAUUA
Molecule: long non-coding RNA, 694 nt
Organism: Ornithodoros turicata
Lineage: Eukaryota; Metazoa; Arthropoda; Arachnida; Ixodida; Argasidae
Exons: 4
Source: RefSeq, a predicted model, not a curated record